AAGCACCAUUUUGUAAACACUUAAGCAACUUGAGUUUGCUUGAGUUUACGGAAUAACCUUGAUUUUACCUUGAAUAUUAAGAAAAAUAUAGUUUACAGUGCUAUGUUUUCCACAACUUAAAAUUGUGAAAAAGUGUUUAGGGAGUCCUUGUAUUUUCGGGCUUGUACGUACAAAUGCCUCUUACGAUUAGGACGGAGAAAGUUCCAUGGAUAAAAAGAAAAUUAUAUGUUAUCUGUCGUAUCACUUGAACCGAAAUUCCAUACCAUAUAACGUGUGAACGCCCCUAAUUGCUAACAGUCAUUCUGACAAUCAACUGGAUCAAUAAUGGACACUGAUAACAAAAGAAACUCUCUUCCUAAAGAUAAACAACCCUAUGGAUUCAGCAGGGAAUUACAACCUGACAAGAUUAUUGGAGCUACAGAUUCCAGUGGAGAACUUAUGUUUCUAAUGAAAUGGAAAGGCACAGAAGCAUCUGACCUGGUAACAGCCAAGGAAGCAAAUGUCCUAUGUCCACAGGUAGUCAUUCAAUUUUACGAGGAUAGGCUAACCUGGUACACAACUAAAUCACAGCAGCAGUGAAUAUGCUCAUGGUUCAAUCAUCUUGGAACAAGACAAGAUUAGCUGUUGGAGUCGAUGUGCCGUAUUGGAUGUUGAAGCUAUGAAUUUGACAAAGACUAACACUCUAGUCAGCUAAUGAACGUGAUGACCUAUACAAUUCAGCGGUUCUUCGUCUCCAGUGAUGAAUACUGAUAG
Long non-coding RNA from Venturia canescens, 753 nucleotides. RefSeq lists it as uncharacterized. The transcript is spliced from 4 exons. The record is from RefSeq and is a predicted model, not a curated record. NCBI's taxonomy places the organism in Eukaryota, Metazoa, Arthropoda, Insecta, Hymenoptera, Ichneumonidae.